UGAUUUUUCAUAUCUAGGAACAUUUCCAAGUUUUUUUGUCAGUAAAUUUAAAAAGUUUUAAAAAUCAUAUGUCCUGUGUAAAUCUUAAUAAGGAUGUUCAUAAGUAUUAGUCACUAGCUUUGUGAAAUUCCUAAAUUUUAGAUAGUAUUGCAUGCAAUAAAAAAUAAUUAUUUUAUCAACUUUGUUCAUACAUGAGUUAUGUUUUCAUAAUAAUUCUGUAGCACUGGAGUAUAAAUGUAUUCUAAUGACUUAUAAAAUCUAUAUCUUUUUUGCUAGACUACACUUGCUGCUUUGAAGGAUGAAGUUGUAUCUGUUGAAAAUGAACUCUUAGAAUUGCAAGAAGUAGAAAAAAAACAGAAAACCCUUAUUGAAAUGUAUAAAACUCAGGUACAAAAGUUGCAAGAAGCAGCUGAAAUAGUUAAAGGCAGAUGUGAAAAUUUGCUACAUAAAAAUAACCAAAUAACAAAAACCAAAAAUAAAAAUGUAGAGAAGGUUGAUGGAAAUCACAAUCUUCUGACAAAGCUUUCUCUGGAAGAGGAAAACUAUCUCAUUCAGUUGAAGUGUGAAAACCUUCAACAAAAAUUAGAACAGAUGGACACAGAAAAUAAAGAGCUUGAGAAGAAGCUGGCAAACCAAGAAGAAUGUCUUAAGCACAGCAAUCUUAAGUUAAAAGAGAAAUCUGCAGAAUAUACAGCAUUGGCCAGACAACUGGAAGCUGCUUUAGAAGAAGGAAGACAAAAGGUUGCUGAAGAAGUAGAGAAAAUGUCAUCUAGAGAGAGUGCUUUACAAAUUAAAAUAUUAGAUCUGGAAACUGAGCUUAGAAA
Molecule: small RNA, 824 nt
Filed under: Pongo abelii (Sumatran orangutan)
Lineage: Eukaryota; Metazoa; Chordata; Mammalia; Primates; Hominidae
Description: retained intron
Source: RNAcentral